GGUUGAUCCUGCCAGUAGUGUAUGCUUGUCUCAAAGAUUAAGCCAUGCAUGUAUCAGUAUAAGCAAUAAUACAGUGAAACUGCGAAUGGCUCAUUAAAUCAGUUAUAAUCUAUUUGAUCGUAUUUGCUAGAUGGAUAACCCUGGCAAUUCUAGAGCUAAUACACGAAAAAACACGGAUUUCCGUGGUGUUCAUUAGAUUCAAAAACCAAUGCUUCGGCUUUAUGGUGAUUCAUGAUGACCUCUCGAAGCGUGUGCCUUGUGCUACGCUGGUUCAUUCGAAUUUCUGCCCUAU
This 292-nucleotide ribosomal RNA is filed under the name uncultured eukaryote. RNAcentral's name for it is "partial 18S ribosomal RNA". It matches the Rfam family "Eukaryotic small subunit ribosomal RNA", at positions 6 to 315 of the family's 1831-position model. The record is from RNAcentral.